UUACUUGUGUUCCAGUUCGCUCCAUCUGAUUCUCUUUCCGGUAACGGACACCGACGGCGACGGACCACCGUUUUGUGGCGGCUGGACUUCGACCUGACUCGCCGGAGUGUUGGCAACCUCCGGUGAGGAGUGUUCCGCCUGCGACGCGGCCACAGCCGGAGUCUGUUGCGGCGGCGAGUGCUGUUGGACGGUUGCGGACACCAGAGGAACCUGAUUCCGGCGAAUUGACGGAGUGUGGGGAGCGUCGUUGCGUUGCGGCGGUGAUUGAUCGGUGAGAUUCAAAAAUUGGAUGUGUGCGGCGUUCAUGUUCUCCAUCAGCGUCAUUGGAGCGGCCACAUCGCGCAGCUCAGGAAACGUGGCGAAGAGUGUCUCCGCUUCGUCUUCGUAACUCUUCUCAGCCAUUCUUGUCUUCGUACAAAUUCUGGCUUUCAACUACUCCUCUUUAUACACUUAAUCUUUGAAGAACAAGGCGCCAAGUUGUAACAGUGGGAGUUCUUGGUGGAUCUGACCUUGUUAAAGAUAUCUGAGCAACAUGGGAAGACAGGUUAGCUAUAUAACUCUAUGGUUUCUGAGAGCAUAAUGUUAAACAUCUUGGAGGCCACUUUGAGAAAAUUGACGUUAUAUUAUACUAAAUUGAUUUCACCUUGUAUUUUCUCUUUCUUUUUCUUGUGUGUUGUAUCCCAGCCUCUAAAACUUGCUGUCAGAGAUACAUUGAUGAUUUCAAUGAAAUUCACUUUUUUGGUGACAAAGUUAAUUUA
Molecule: long non-coding RNA, 758 nt
Organism: Cajanus cajan (pigeon pea)
Lineage: Eukaryota; Viridiplantae; Streptophyta; Magnoliopsida; Fabales; Fabaceae
Source: RefSeq, a predicted model, not a curated record